This 434-nucleotide ribosomal RNA is filed under the name uncultured Ruminococcus sp. RNAcentral describes it as "partial 16S ribosomal RNA". It matches the Rfam family "Bacterial small subunit ribosomal RNA", at positions 341 to 792 of the family's 1533-position model. The record is from RNAcentral. Lineage: Bacteria; Bacillati; Bacillota; Clostridia; Eubacteriales; Oscillospiraceae.
ACGGAAGGCAGCAGUGGGGAAUAUUGUACAAUGGGGGAAACCCUGAUGCAGCGAUGCCGCGUGGAGGAAGAAGGUUUUCGGAUUGUAAACUCCUGUCUUCAAGGACGAUAAUGACAGUACUUUAGGCGGAAGCUCCGGCUAACUACGUGCCAGCAGCCGCGGUAAUACGUAGGGAGCGAGCGUUGUCCGGAAUUACUGGGUGUAAAGGGAGCGUAGGCGGGAUUGCAAGUCAGAUGUGAAAACUAUGGGCUCAACCCAUAGACUGCAUUUGAAACUGUAGUUCUUGAGUGAAGUAGAGGUAAGCGGAAUUCCUGGUGUAGCGGUGAAAUGCGUAGAUAUCAGGAGGAACACCGGUGGCGAAGGCGGCUUACUGGGCUUUUACUGACGCUGAGGCUCGAAAGCGUGGGGAGCAAACAGGAUUAGAUACCCUGGUA